RNAcentral lists this ribosomal RNA (1008 nucleotides) under Heyndrickxia coagulans. RNAcentral's name for it is "bacterial SSU rRNA". It matches the Rfam family "Bacterial small subunit ribosomal RNA", at positions 66 to 1063 of the family's 1533-position model. The record is from RNAcentral. Lineage: Bacteria; Bacillati; Bacillota; Bacilli; Caryophanales; Bacillaceae.
GCUUGCUUUUAAAAGGUUAGCGGCGGACGGGUGAGUAACACGUGGGCAACCUGCCUGUAAGAUCGGGAUAACGCCGGGAAACCGGGGCUAAUACCGGAUAGUUUUUUCCUCCGCAUGGAGGAAAAAGGAAAGACGGCUUCUGCUGUCACUUACAGAUGGGCCCGCGGCGCAUUAGCUAGUUGGUGGGGUAACGGCUCACCAAGGCAACGAUGCGUAGCCGACCUGAGAGGGUGAUCGGCCACAUUGGGACUGAGACACGGCCCAAACUCCUACGGGAGGCAGCAGUAGGGAAUCUUCCGCAAUGGACGAAAGUCUGACGGAGCAACGCCGCGUGAGUGAAGAAGGCCUUCGGGUCGUAAAACUCUGUUGCCGGGGAAGAACAAGUGCCGUUCGAACAGGGCGGCGCCUUGACGGUACCCGGCCAGAAAGCCACGGCUAACUACGUGCCAGCAGCCGCGGUAAUACGUAGGUGGCAAGCGUUGUCCGGAAUUAUUGGGCGUAAAGCGCGCGCAGGCGGCUUCUUAAGUCUGAUGUGAAAUCUUGCGGCUCAACCGCAAGCGGUCAUUGGAAACUGGGAGGCUUGAGUGCAGAAGAGGAGAGUGGAAUUCCACGUGUAGCGGUGAAAUGCGUAGAGAUGUGGAGGAACACCAGUGGCGAAGGCGGCUCUCUGGUCUGUAACUGACGCUGAGGCGCGAAAGCGUGGGGAGCAAACAGGAUUAGAUACCCUGGUAGUCCACGCCGUAAACGAUGAGUGCUAAGUGUUUAGAGGGUUUCCGCCCUUUAGUGCUGCAGCUAACGCAUUAAGCACUCCGCCUGGGGGAGUACGGCCGCAAGGCUGAAACUCAAAGGAAUUGACGGGGGCCCGCACAAGCGGUGGAGCAUGGUGGUUUAAUUCGAAGCAACGCGAAGAACCUUACCAGGUCUUGACAUCCUCUGACCUCCCUGGAGACAGGGCCUUCCCCUUCGGGGGACAGAGUGACAGGUGGUGCAUGGUUGUCGUCAGCUCGU